UACGUAGGUGGCAAGCGUUGUCCGGAUUCAUUGGGCGUAAAGAGCUCGUAGGCGGCCACUCAAGUCGGAUGUGAAACCUCGAGGCUUAACCUCGAGCCUGCAUUCGAUACUGGGCGGCUAGAGUCUGGUAGGGGGAUCUGGAAUUCCUGGCGUAGCGGUGGAAUGCGCAGAUAUCAGGAGGAACACCGGUGGCGAAGGCGAGUCCCUGGACAACACCUGACACUGAGGCACGAAAGCGAGGGGAGCAGACAGG
RNAcentral lists this ribosomal RNA (253 nucleotides) under uncultured bacterium. RNAcentral's name for it is "partial 16S ribosomal RNA". It matches the Rfam family "Bacterial small subunit ribosomal RNA", at positions 524 to 776 of the family's 1533-position model. The record is from RNAcentral.